This 578-nucleotide ribosomal RNA is filed under the name Salmonella enterica. RNAcentral describes it as "partial 23S ribosomal RNA". It matches the Rfam family "Bacterial large subunit ribosomal RNA", at positions 1024 to 1524 of the family's 2925-position model. The record is from RNAcentral. Lineage: Bacteria; Pseudomonadati; Pseudomonadota; Gammaproteobacteria; Enterobacterales; Enterobacteriaceae.
AACCCAGACCGCCAGCUAAGGUCCCAAAGUCAUGGUUAAGUGGGAAACGAUGUGGGAAGGCCCAGACAGCCAGGAUGUUGGCUUAGAAGCAGCCAUCAUUUAAAGAAAGCGUAAUAGCUCACUGGUCGAGUCGGCCUGCGCGGAAGAUGUAACGGGGCUAAACCAUGCACCGAAGCUGCGGCAGCGAACGUAUCACUUAAAGCGAUUCAGCGGAUGACGAUUGACGGAGCGAAGCGACGUCAAAGCGUAUACAAAGUCGAGUCGGUUUAAGGAUACGUUCGUUGGGUAGGGGAGCGUUCUGUAAGCCUGUGAAGGUGUGUCGUGAGGCAUGCUGGAGGUAUCAGAAGUGCGAAUGCUGACAUAAGUAACGAUAAAGCGGGUGAAAAGCCCGCUCGCCGGAAGACCAAGGGUUCCUGUCCAACGUUAAUCGGGGCAGGGUGAGUCGACCCCUAAGGCGAGGCCGAAAGGCGUAGUCGAUGGGAAACGGGUUAAUAUUCCCGUACUUGGUGUUACUGCGAAGGGGGGACGGAGAAGGCUAUGUUGGCCGGGCGACGGUUGUCCCGGUUUAAGCGUGUAGG